CCGAGUCUUAACUGGGCGUUAAGUUGCAGGGUAUAGACCCGAAACCCGGUGAUCUAGCCAUGGGCAGGUUGAAGGUUGGGUAACACUAACUGGAGGACCGAACCGACUAAUGUUGAAAAAUUAGCGGAUGACUUGUGGCUGGGGGUGAAAGGCCAAUCAAACCGGGAGAUAGCUGGUUCUCCCCGAAAGCUAUUUAGGUAGCGCCUCGUGAAUUCAUCUCCGGGGGUAGAGCACUGUUUCGGCAAGGGGGUCAUCCCGACUUACCAACCCGAUGCAAACUGCGAAUACCGGAGAAUGUUAUCACGGGAGACACACGGCGGGUGCUAACGUCCGUCGUGAAGAGGGAAACAACCCAGACCGCCAGCUAAGGUCCCAAAGUCAUGGUUAAGUGGGAAACGAUGUGGGAAGGCCCAGACAGCCAGGAUGUUGGCUUAGAAGCAGCCAUCAUUUAAAGAAAGCGUAAUAGCUCACUGGUCGAGUCGGCCUGCGCGGAAGAUGUAACGGGGCUAAACCAUGCACCGAAGCUGCGGCAGCGACACUAUGUGUUGUUGGGUAGGGGAGCGUUCUGUAAGCCUGUGAAGGUGGCCUGUGAGGGUUGCUGGAGGUAUCAGAAGUGCGAAUGCUGACAUAAGUAACGAUAAAGCGGGUGAAAAGCCCGCUCGCCGGAAGACCAAGGGUUCCUGUCCAACGUUAAUCGGGGCAGGGUGAGUCGACCCCUAAGGCGAGGCCGAAAGGCGUAGUCGAUGGGAAACAGGUUAAUAUUCCUGUACUUGGUGUUACUGCGAAGGGGGGACGGAGAAGGCUAUGUUGGCCGGGCGACGGUUGUCCCGGUUUAAGCGUGUAGGCUGGUUUUCCAGGCAAAUCCGGAAAACCAAGGCUGAGGCGUGAUGACGAGGCACUACGGUGCUGAAGCGACAAAUGCCCUGCUUCCAGGAAAAGCCUCUAAGCAUCAGGUAACAUCAAAUCGUACCCCAAACCGACACAGGUGGUCAGGUAGAGAAUACCAAGGCGCUUGAGAGAACUCGGGUGAAGGAACUAGGCAAAAUGGUGCCGUAACUUCGGGAGAAGGCACGCUGAUAUGUAGGUGAAGCGACUUGCUCGUGGAGCUGAAAUCAGUCGAAGAUACCAGCUGGCUGCAACUGUUUAUUAAAAACACAGCACUGUGCAAACACGAAAGUGGACGUAUACGGUGUGACGCCUGCCCGGUGCCGGAAGGUUAAUUGAUGGGGUUAGCGGUAACGCGAAGCUCUUGAUCGAAGCCCCGGUAAACGGCGGCCGUAACUAUAACGGUCCUAAGGUAGCGAAAUUCCUUGUCGGGUAAGUUCCGACCUGCACGAAUGGCGUAAUGAUGGCCAGGCUGUCUCCACCCGAGACUCAGUGAAAUUGAACUCGCUGUGAAGAUGCAGUGUACCCGCGGCAAGACGGAAAGACCCCGUGAACCUUUACUAUAGCUUGACACUGAACAUUGAGCCUUGAUGUGUAGGAUAGGUGGGAGGCUUUGAAGUGUGGACGCCAGUCUGCAUGGAGCCGACCUUGAAAUACCACCCUUUAAUGUUUGAUGUUCUAACGUUGGCCCCUAAUCGGGGUUGCGGACAGUGUCUGGUGGGUAGUUUGACUGGGGCGGUCUCCUCCUAAAGAGUAACGGAGGAGCACGAAGGUUGGCUAAUCCUGGUCGGACAUCAGGAGGUUAGUGCAAUGGCAUAAGCCAGCUUGACUGCGAGCGUGACGGCGCGAGCAGGUGCGAAAGCAGGUCAUAGUGAUCCGGUGGUUCUGAAUGGAAGGGCCAUCGCUCAACGGAUAAAAGGUACUCCGGGGAUAACAGGCUGAUACCGCCCAAGAGUUCAUAUCGACGGCGGUGUUUGGCACCUCGAUGUCGGCUCAUCACAUCCUGGGGCUGAAGUAGGUCCCAAGGGUAUGGCUGUUCGCCAUUUAAAGUGGUACGCGAGCUGGGUUUAGAACGUCGUGAGACAGUUCGGUCCCUAUCUGCCGUGGGCGCUGGAGAACUGAGGGGGGCUGCUCCUAGUACGAGAGGACCGGAGUGGACGCAUCACUGGUGUUCGGGUUGUCAUGCCAAUGGCACUGCCCGGUAGCUAAAUGCGGAAGAGAUAAGUGCUGAAAGCAUCUAAGCACGAAACUUGCCCCGAGAUGAGUUCUCCCUGAGACUUAGAGUCUCCUGAAGGAACGUUGAAGACGACGACGUUGAUAGGCCGGGUGUGUAAGCGCAGCGAUGCGUUGAGCUAACCGGUACUAAUGAACCGUGAGGCUUAACCUUACAACGCCGAAG
RNAcentral lists this ribosomal RNA (2284 nucleotides) under Escherichia coli. Its description in RNAcentral is "partial 23S ribosomal RNA". It matches the Rfam family "Bacterial large subunit ribosomal RNA", at positions 677 to 2925 of the family's 2925-position model. Lineage: Bacteria; Pseudomonadati; Pseudomonadota; Gammaproteobacteria; Enterobacterales; Enterobacteriaceae. The record is from RNAcentral.